Molecule: ribosomal RNA, 631 nt
Filed under: uncultured Russulaceae
Lineage: Eukaryota; Fungi; Basidiomycota; Agaricomycetes; Russulales; Russulaceae
Description: LSU rRNA
Rfam family: Eukaryotic large subunit ribosomal RNA
Source: RNAcentral
UAAGCGGAGGAAAAGAAACUAACAAGGAUUCCCCUAGUAACUGCGAGUGAAGCGGGAAAAGNUCAAAUUUGGANUCUGGUGGUCUUUGGCCCAUCCGAGUNGUANNUUAGAGAAGCGUCUUCCGCGCUGGACCGUGCNCAAGUCUCCUGGAAUGGAGCGUCAUAGAGGGUGAGAAUCCCGUCUUUGGCAUGGAAUCCCAGGGCUUCUGUGAUGCGCUCUCGACGAGUCGAGUUGUUUGGGAAUGCAGCUCAAAAUGGGUGGUGAACUCCAUCUAAAGCUAAAUAUUGGCGAGAGACCGAUAGCGAACAAGUACCGUGAGGGAAAGAUGAAAAGCACUUUGGAAAGAGAGUGAAACAGUACGUGAAAUUGUUGAAAGGGAAACGCUUGAAGUCAGUCGCGUCGACCGAGACUCAGCCUUGCCUCGGCUUGGUGUACUUCUCGGCUUGACGGGUCAGCAUCGAUUUCAAUCCUCGGAUAAUGGCAAGGGAAAGGUAGCACCUUUUUAGGUGUGUUAUAGUCCUCUGUCGCAUGCGAGGGUCGGGAUCGAGGAACUCAGCACGCACCUCAGGGUGUCGGGGCCUUGGCCCACGUUUACGUGCUUAGGAUGCUGGCGUAAUGGCUUUAAACGACC